UACGUAGGGUGCGAGCGUUUAAUCGGAAUUACUGGGCGUAAAGCGUGCGCAGGCGGUUUUGUAAGUCUGUCGUGAAAUCCCCGGGCUUAACCUGGGAAUUGCGAUGGAGACUGCAAGGCUAGAAUCUGGCAGAGGGGGGUAGAAUUCCACGUGUAGCAGUGAAAUGCGUAGAGAUGUGGAGGAACACCGAUGGCGAAGGCAGCCCCCUGGGUCGAAGAUUGGACG
Molecule: ribosomal RNA, 225 nt
Filed under: uncultured bacterium
Lineage: Bacteria
Description: partial 16S ribosomal RNA
Rfam family: Bacterial small subunit ribosomal RNA
Source: RNAcentral